CGAAUCAAUCGCUCAAUCGUCCGUUCAUCAGAACUCUAUUUCGCUUUGUUCUCCGUAGAGACGAAAUCCGCAGUAGCAUUUUUAUUCCGGAAAAUAAUUUAGCGCGGCCCGAUUUAGUGUUUUGGGCCAGCCCAACCCAGCCCAUUUGGCCCACUAAGAAACCCCACUAAAACCCUAGACCUCACAUGUCUAUAAAUAUGAGGCCUUCCCUUUGCAAAGUUGGAGAAAAUUACCACUCCCUACCCCUAGCCGUCACACCCAACACCCUGCCACCCUUCUCCCCCACGCCAUCCUCCUCACUCUCUCCCACACGGCAGCAGGCAGGGCGCCAUCUCCUAGCAGCUCCUCCCAUGGCGUCCUCUGCCCUUCUUCCUCCCCUGGCCGAACUACUACACAGCAGCGGCAGCUGCUCCCAUGGAUGGCACCCAGAUUUUCGCGCCCUCAGCCAUGGCGCCCAAGCCCUUCUUCCUUUCUUCAACCAGUAGCUCGGCGCCCCUCUUUGCUGGCCUUUCUUCCCCAUCGCGCGCAGGGCUGUUGGUAGGAGCGCGGCAUGGUCGGAGCUCUACUCCCCUAGCUGAGCGCCCCUUGUUGUUCUCCUUGACGCCCUUUGGCUGCUCGACAAACUGCGCAACAAGCCACGCACUGCAGCAGCCCUCGCUCGCUCUAUCCUCUAGCUCAUCGCCUCUCUGUUGCAGACCAGCACCACCCCUGCUCCUCUUCUCUCUACUGCGCAGCAGCACUCCCUCCCAUGGCACCCCUGUUUCCCUCUCCCGGCAGCGCAGCACCGCGCAGCCAAGUUUUCCCCCAGCCCCACAACAUCGACGUGCUGUGGGUGUUCGACAAAAUGCCCAUGGAAAGUCUUGCACUGCGCAGCCCCAUCCGUGACGCCGUAAGUCCUCGCUAGACGUUGCCGCGGAGCCGCGCGCGAUGCCUGUCCCGGUGAAGCCCCUAAACCGUGGACGCAUGUGCAACCCGAAUCCAAGUUUGACAGGACUGAGAGAUGCCGAUCGAGCAACUGACGUGGUGCCAACCACAAGAUGCAAUUGGUGGACGACCCCAAAGAAGGAUGGACAUAACUAGUGGAUGCUCGCCAAGCGAGUGCCCCCCCAGCAAACACUACCUAAGUGUUAAAUUAA
Molecule: long non-coding RNA, 1136 nt
Organism: Zea mays
Lineage: Eukaryota; Viridiplantae; Streptophyta; Magnoliopsida; Poales; Poaceae
Exons: 3
Source: RefSeq, a predicted model, not a curated record